GAUGAACGCUAGCUACAGGCUUAACACAUGCAAGUCGCGGGGCAGCAUGGGGGUUGCUUGCAAUCCCCGAUGGCGACCGGCGCACGGGUGAGUAACGCGUAUCCAACCUGCCCUUCACCACGGGAUAACCCGGCGAAAGUCGGACUAAUACCGUAUGUUGUCCAUUGACGGCAUCCGAUUUGGACGAAAGGUUUGGCGGUGAAGGAUGGGGAUGCGUCCGAUUAGCUGGACGGCGGGGUGACGGCCCACCGUGGCGACGAUCGGUAGGGGUUCUGAGAGGAAGGUCCCCCACACUGGAACUGAGACACGGUCCAGACUCCUACGGGAGGCAGCAGUGAGGAAUAUUGGUCAAUGGGCGUAAGCCUGAACCAGCCAAGUAGCGUGCAGGAUGACGGCCCUAUGGGUCGUAAACUGCUUUUAUGCGGGGAUAAAGUGGCCCACGUGUGGGUUUUUGCAGGUACCGCAUGAAUAAGGACCGGCUAAUUCCGU
RNAcentral lists this ribosomal RNA (489 nucleotides) under uncultured bacterium. Its description in RNAcentral is "partial 16S ribosomal RNA". It matches the Rfam family "Bacterial small subunit ribosomal RNA", at positions 28 to 506 of the family's 1533-position model. The record is from RNAcentral.